AUGCAAGUCGAGGGGUAACAUGAGAGCUUGCUCUUGAUGACGACCGGCGCACGGGUGAGUAACGCGUAUGCAACCUUCCUUUAACUGGAGAAUAGCCCCCGGAAACGGGGAUUAAUGCUCCAUGGCACUCUGAAUACGCCUGUAUUAAGAGUUAAAGUUCCGACGGUUAAAGAUGGGCAUGCGUGACAUUAGCUAGUUGGCGGGGUAACGGCCCACCAAGGCAACGAUGUCUAGGGGUUCUGAGAGGAAGGUCCCCCACACUGGUACUGAGACACGGACCAGACUCCUACGGGAGGCAGCAGUGAGGAAUAUUGGUCAAUGGACGCAAGUCUGAACCAGCCAUGUCGCGUGCAGGAUGACUGCCCUAUGGGUUGUAAACUGCUUUUAUACGGGAAGAAAGGUAUCUACGUGUAGAUAUUUGCCGGUACCGUACGAAUAAGCAUCGGCUAACUCCGUGCCAGCAGCCGCGGUAAUACGGAGGAUGCGAGCGUUAUCCGGAUUUAUUGGGUUUAAAGGGUGCGUAGGCGGAAUGGUAAGUCAGCGGUGAAAUACUGCAGCUCAACUGUAGAACUGCCGUUGAUACUGUCAUUCUUGAGUAUAGAUGAGGUAGGCGGAAUGAGUGGUGUAGCGGUGAAAUGCAUAGAUAUUACUCAGAACACCAAUUGCGAAGGCAGCUUACUAAACUAUAACUGACGCUGAAGCACGAAAGCGUGGGUAUCAAACAGGAUUAGAUACCCUGGUAGUCCACGCCGUAAACGAUGAUUACUGGUUGUUUGCGAUACACAGUAAGCGACUGAGCGAAAGCAUUAAGUAAUCCACCUGGGGAGUACGUUGGCAACAAUGAAACUCAAAGGAAUUGACGGGGGCCCGCACAAGCGGUGGAACAUGUGGUUUAAUUCGAUGAUACGCGAGGAACCUUACCUGGGCUUAAAUGGGGAGUGACAGGGGUAGAAAUACCCUUUUCUUCGGACACUCUUCAAGGUGCUGCAUGGUUGUCGUCAACUCGUGCCGUGAGGUGUCGGGUUAAGUCCCAUAACGAGCGCAACCCCUGUUGUCAGUUACCAGCACGUAAAGGUGGGGACUCUGGCAAGACUGCCGGUGUAAACCGCGAGGAAGGUGGGGAUGACGUCAAAUCAGCACGG
Molecule: ribosomal RNA, 1142 nt
Filed under: uncultured organism
Description: bacterial SSU rRNA
Rfam family: Bacterial small subunit ribosomal RNA
Source: RNAcentral